RNAcentral lists this ribosomal RNA (428 nucleotides) under Buitinga cf. nigrescens DNA100446422. RNAcentral's name for it is "partial 16S ribosomal RNA". It matches the Rfam family "Bacterial large subunit ribosomal RNA", at positions 1829 to 2597 of the family's 2925-position model. Lineage: Eukaryota; Metazoa; Arthropoda; Arachnida; Araneae; Pholcidae. The record is from RNAcentral.
UGCUUUAAGAUAUUAUUUAAAGUAAAACCUGCUCAAUGAUAUAUUUAAAUAGCCGCAGUAUUACUGUGCUAAGGUAGCAUAAUCAUUUGCUUUUUAAAUGAAAGAUAGAAUGAAAGGAUCAACGAUUAAUUACUUUUUUCUUGAACUUUAAAAACUUAAUAUUAAUGUAAAAAAUCAUUAAUAUAAAAGUAAGACGAUAAGACCCUGAUAAACUUAACAUUUUGUUGGGGCGACAUAAAAACAAAAUCUUAUUUAAUUACAACAAUAAAACUUUUAAAGAAAAUUUAAACAUAGUUACUACAGGGAUAACAGCGCAAUAUCUUUUUAGAGUUCAUAUCCAAAAAGAAGUUUACGACCUCGAUGUUGAAUUAAUUAACCUUACUAAAGCAAAAAUUUCAUAAGGUAGUCUGUUCGACUAUUAAAUAAUU